AAACUAGGAUUAGAUACCCUCCUAUAAAUUUAAAAUUUUAGUAGUAAAUGAUAUUCAAUAAAUUAAAAAAAAUUGGCGGCUUUUCAAAAAAACUAGAGGAAUUUAUUCUUUAAAGGAUUUAACACCAAAAUCUUACUUAAUUUAGUUAAAUCAGUUUGUAUAUCUCUAUAAUUUAAAUAAAUAUAUUUAUUUUUUUUACAUUCUAUAUUUAAUAAAAAAAAUUAGGUCAAGGUGCAACUAAUAAUUAAGCUUGAAAUAAAUUAUAUUAAUAAAUAUUUAACAAUAAUAAAAAUGAAAUUAACUAUUAAAGAAAAAUUUAAAAGUAAAUUAAAUCUAACUAAUUUAAUUGAAUACUUUAUUGUAAGUGUACAUAUUGCCCGUCACUCUUUAUUUAAAGAUAAGUCGAACAUAGU
RNAcentral lists this ribosomal RNA (413 nucleotides) under Typhlodromus cotoneastri. RNAcentral's name for it is "partial small subunit ribosomal RNA". The record is from RNAcentral. Lineage: Eukaryota; Metazoa; Arthropoda; Arachnida; Mesostigmata; Phytoseiidae.